RNAcentral lists this ribosomal RNA (1697 nucleotides) under Minimugil cascasia (yellowtail mullet). Its description in RNAcentral is "16S ribosomal RNA". The stretch from base 95 to 1618 matches the Rfam family "Bacterial large subunit ribosomal RNA". Lineage: Eukaryota; Metazoa; Chordata; Actinopteri; Mugiliformes; Mugilidae. The record is from RNAcentral.
UGCCUAACAGCUAGCCCAAUAAUAAAACCAAAGCUUACAUGUUUAUAACCCCUCAUGCACUAGACACCGCUAAACAAACCAUUUUCCCCCCUUAGUAUGGGCGACAGAAAAGGAACACAGACGCAACAGAAAAAGUACCGCAAGGGAACGCUGAAAGAGAAAAUGAAACAACCCAGUAAAGCCAAAAAAAGCAGAGACUAAACCUCGUACCUUUUGCAUCAUGAUUUAGCAAGUAUACCCAGGCAAAAAGAAUUUUAGUCUGGCCCCCCGAAACCAAGUGAGCUACUCCAAGACAACCUGCAGCCAGGGUAAAUCCGUCUCUGUGGCAAAAGAGUGGAAAGAGCUUUGAGUAGAGGUGACAGACCUAUCGAACUUGGUAAUAGCUGGUUGCUUGAGAAACGAAUAGGAGUUCUGCUUUUUAUGUUCUUACCCCAACUUAACACCUUCCUUUCCCUUAGCAGUAAAGAGAAUAAGAAAAUAAAAAAGUUAUUCAGAGGGGGUACAGCCCCUUUGAAAUAAGAUACAACUUUUCCAGGUGGGUAAAGAUCAUAAUCUUUUAAGGUAAUUAUGUUUCGGUGGGCCUGAAAGCAGCCAUCCCCAUAGAAUGCGUUAAAGCUCUAACAUACUCCCCCCCUCUGAUUCCGAUAACAAAUCUUAGCCCCCUAAUUUAUAUCAAGCCGUCCCAUACAGACAUGGGAGUGAUUAUGCUAAAAUGAGUAACCAGAGAACACAACUUCUCUCCCCGCACACGUGUAACUCGGAACGGACCCCCCACCGAAAACUAACGGCCCCAAACAGCAGAGGGUACUGGAUAAUGAUUACCAAACAAGAAAACCAUCCAAAACAUCACCGUUAACCCCACACUGGAGUGCUUCAAAGGAAAGACUAAAAGGAAAAGAAGGAACUCGGCAAACAUUUACAGCCUCGACUGUUUACCAAAAACAUCGCCUCUUGCUCAUCACAUAUAAGAGGUCACGCCUGCCCAGUGACACUCCAGUUUAACGGCCGCGGUAUUUUGACCGUGCAAAGGUAGCGUAAUCACUUGUCUUCUAAAUGAGGACCUGUAUGAAUGGCAUAACGAGGGCUUAACUGUCUCCUUUCCCCAGUCAGUGAAAUUGAUCUUCCCGUGCAGAAGCGGGAAUUAAAACAUAAGACGAGAAGACCCUAUGGAGCUUUAGACUACAGAACCGACCAUGUCAGCUACCCCCCUUAAACGAGUAGUAAUUAUUGAAAUCUGUUCCCUUGUCUUUGGUUGGGGCGACCACGGGGAACAAAAAAACCCCCAUGUGGACCGGGAGCACACAACUCCUAUAACCACGAGCCACAGCUCUAAUGCGCAGAACUUCUGACCAAUAUGACCCGGCAAAGCCGAUCAACGGACCGAGUUACCCUAGGGAUAACAGCGCAAUCCUCUUUAAGAGUUCCUAUCGACAAGGGGGUUUACGACCUCGAUGUUGGAUCAAGACAUCCUAAUGGUGCAACCGCUAUUAAGGGUUCGUUUGUUCAACGAUUAAAGUCUUACGUGAUCUGAGUUCAGACCGGAGUAAUCCAGGUCAGUUUCUAUCUAUGACAUGUUCUUUUCUAGUACGAAAGGACCGAAAAGGAAAGGCCUAUGCUUAAAGCAUGCCUUACCCUUACCUAAUGAAACUAACUAAAUUAGGUAAAAGGGCAUUCCCCUGUGCUAUAAAUAAUAGCGU